RNAcentral lists this small RNA (472 nucleotides) under Pongo abelii (Sumatran orangutan). Its description in RNAcentral is "processed transcript". The record is from RNAcentral. Lineage: Eukaryota; Metazoa; Chordata; Mammalia; Primates; Hominidae.
AACACAUUUACUGCGGGCGGGGGUCUGAGGGCCUGCAAACAACUCCAACUGGAGCCUCGGCCAGGACUGGCGCGAGAGGCGCCGGAGCCCGGCCCAGUGCUCCAGAGAAAGGCCGGCCUGCAGCACCCGCCACCGUCGCCGGCCGCCUGCACGUCCGUCCGCCCCGUGACUGGCUGCAGUUUCCGCUGCGUUUCAGCUGAGCUGCCGCAGGCGGCCACCGCCGCCGCCCGGACGCCGGGACCGUUUCGCCCUCAGCGCCCCCGGCCCUGCGCCUUCCCCCGCGCCUGUAGCCACCCGAGGGCAGUCGGGGCAGGUGGCAGUCCGGACACCUGGGCUUACCAGGGCAUACGGGACCCCAGGAAAUGUUAUUUUUGCUUAAGUCAAAUCAUAUGUGGCUGCUAAGGUGCUUUCGAUGCAGUUUUUCCAACAAUCUUUGCCACCCCGAGUAUCUGAAUAAAGAAAGAAAAAUAAA